This 61-nucleotide transfer RNA is filed under the name Onchocerca lupi. RNAcentral's name for it is "tRNA-Met". The record is from RNAcentral. Lineage: Eukaryota; Metazoa; Nematoda; Chromadorea; Rhabditida; Onchocercidae.
AAUACGGUAGGAUAAGUUAAAAGUCUGUGAGAUUCAUAUUUUCGAGGUGGAUUCUGUAUUU